ACUCCUACGGGAGGCAGCAGUGGGGAAUAUUGCACAAUGGGCGCAAGCCUGAUGCAGCCAUGCCGCGUGUGUGAAGAAGGCCUUCGGGUUGUAAAGCACUUUCAGUCGUGAGGAAGGUAGUGUAGUUAAUAGCUGCAUUAUUUGACGUUAGCGACAGAAGAAGCACCGGCUAACUCCGUGCCAGCAGCCGCGGUAAUACGGAGGGUGCGAGCGUUAAUCGGAAUUACUGGGCGUAAAGCGCAUGCAGGUGGUUUGUUAAGUCAGAUGUGAAAGCCCGGGGCUCAACCUCGGAAUUGCAUUUGAAACUGGCAGACUAGAGUACUGUAGGAGGGGGGUAGAAUUUCAGGUGUAGCGGUGAAAUGCGUAGAGAUCUGAAGGAAU
This 381-nucleotide ribosomal RNA is filed under the name uncultured bacterium. RNAcentral's name for it is "bacterial SSU rRNA". It matches the Rfam family "Bacterial small subunit ribosomal RNA", at positions 335 to 707 of the family's 1533-position model. The record is from RNAcentral.